CCUACGUGAUGCAGCAGUGGGGAAUAUUUGUCAAUGGACGCAAGUCUGACCCAGCAACGCCGCGUGAAGGAAGAAGGCUUUCGGGUUGUACACUUCUUUUAAGGGGGAAGAGCAGAAGACGGUACCCCUUUAAUAAGCCACGGCUAACUACUUGCCAGCAGCCGCGGUAAUACGUAGGUGGCAAGCGUUGUCCGGAUUUACUGGGUGUAAAGGUCGUGCAGCCGGAGAGACAAGUCAGAUGUGAAAUCCACGGGCUCAACCCGUGAACUGCAUUUGAAACUGUUUCCCUUGAGUGUCGGUGAGGUAGUCGGAAUGCUUGGUGUAGCGGUGAAAUGAGUAGAUAUAAGGAAGAACACCAGUGGCGAAGGCGGAUUACUGAACGAUAACUGACGGUGAGGCGCGAAAGCGUGGGGAGCAAACAGGAUUAGAUACCCGGGUAGUC
Molecule: ribosomal RNA, 442 nt
Filed under: uncultured bacterium
Lineage: Bacteria
Description: partial 16S ribosomal RNA
Rfam family: Bacterial small subunit ribosomal RNA
Source: RNAcentral